UUGCGUAGGCGUUGUGCAUAGC
RNAcentral lists this microRNA (22 nucleotides) under Lingula anatina. RNAcentral describes it as "Lan-Mir-242_5p (mature (guide))". The record is from RNAcentral. Lineage: Eukaryota; Metazoa; Brachiopoda; Lingulata; Lingulida; Lingulidae.